RNAcentral lists this ribosomal RNA (253 nucleotides) under uncultured bacterium. Its description in RNAcentral is "partial 16S ribosomal RNA". It matches the Rfam family "Bacterial small subunit ribosomal RNA", at positions 524 to 776 of the family's 1533-position model. The record is from RNAcentral.
UACGUAGGGUGCAAGCGUUGUCCGGAAUUAUUGGGCGUAAAGAGCUCGUAGGCGGUUUGUCGCGUCGGCUGUGAAAACUCGGGGCUCAACCCCGAGCCUGCAGUCGAUACGGGCAAACUAGAGUGUGCUAGGGGAGACUGGAAUUCCUGGUGUAGCGGUGAAAUGCGCAGAUAUCAGGAGGAACACCGGUGGCGAAGGCGGGUCUCUGGGCCGAAAUUGACGCUGAGGAGCGAAAGCGUGGGGAGCAAACGGG